UACGGAGGGUGCAAGCGUUGUCCGGAAUCACUGGGCGUAAAGGGCGCGUAGGCGGCUCAUGAAGGCUGUGGUGAAAGUCCGGGGCUCAACCUCGGAUCGGCCGUGGCGACUCGUGGGCUGGAGCACUGUAGAGGCGGGUGGAAUUCCGGGUGUAGCGGUGGAAUGCGUAGAGAUCCGGAAGAACACCAGUGGCGAAGGCGACACGCUGGGCCGUACCUGACACUGAUGCGCGACAGCAUGGGGAGCAAACAGG
This 253-nucleotide ribosomal RNA is filed under the name uncultured bacterium. RNAcentral's name for it is "partial 16S ribosomal RNA". It matches the Rfam family "Bacterial small subunit ribosomal RNA", at positions 524 to 776 of the family's 1533-position model. The record is from RNAcentral.